ACAGGUGGUGCAUGGUUGUCGUUCAGCUCGUGUCGUGAGAUGUUGGUUAAGUCCCGCAACGAGCGCAACCCUCGACCUUAGUUGCCAGCAUUCAGUUGGGCACUCUAAGGUGACUGCCGGCUAAAAGUCGGAGGAAGGUGGGGAUGACGUCAAAUCAUCAUGCCCCUUAUGACCUGGGCUACACACGUGCUACAAUGGGCGGUACAAAGGGUCGCGAACCCGCGAGGGGGAGCCAAUCCCAAAAAGCCGCUCUCAGUUCGGAUUGCAGGCUGCAACUCGCCUGCAUGAAGCCGGAAUCGCUAGUAAUCGCGGAUCAGCAUGCCGCGGUGAAUACGUUCCCGGGCCUU
RNAcentral lists this ribosomal RNA (347 nucleotides) under uncultured Anoxybacillus sp. RNAcentral's name for it is "bacterial SSU rRNA". It matches the Rfam family "Bacterial small subunit ribosomal RNA", at positions 1034 to 1382 of the family's 1533-position model. Lineage: Bacteria; Bacillati; Bacillota; Bacilli; Caryophanales; Anoxybacillaceae. The record is from RNAcentral.